ACUCCUACGGGAGGCAGCAGUAGGGAAUCUUCCGCAAUGGACGAAAGUCUGACGGAGCAACGCCGCGUGAGUGAUGAAGGCUUUCGGGUCGUAAAACUCUGUUGUUAGGGAAGAACAAGUACGAGAGUAACUGCUCGUACCUUGACGGUACCUAACCAGAAAGCCACGGCUAACUACGUGCCAGCAGCCGCGGUAAUA
Molecule: ribosomal RNA, 198 nt
Filed under: uncultured bacterium
Lineage: Bacteria
Description: partial 16S ribosomal RNA
Rfam family: Bacterial small subunit ribosomal RNA
Source: RNAcentral